AUCAACUGCACAAAAGAUGGGAGGGGACAAGUGAGGUGGUCACUUCUUUCAUCGAAACUCCUUGUCCCCUCGGAGUCUGGUGUAUGAAAGUGAAUUCUCCACCAUCGAACCUUCUUUGGACAUGUAUGAUGAGAACAAAACCUGAAUUUUAAACAUGGGCUGGCUGUUGGGGUCACUGCUUUUGUGAUUUGAUUUCUGAUCACCUUUCUUAUUUUGUAUUCUCCUGUCAGCAUCCGUUUUGGAAGAAUGGCAGCACUUUCCAAGCACAGGUUGGGGUUCAGGGUUAAUUUGCAAAGUUCCCCCAAGGUGAGGCUUUGAGGACAGUAGCAUUGCCCAGGUGAGCCUUGUGGUAUUGAAAACCCGCCCAAGCUGAUCAUUGAAGGUGGGCGCCCAGCAAGCCUGGCUGUUUCCAGAGAAGAGGCCGGGCCCAGGAUUAAUGUUGCAUUGCAGACGCAUCUCUGAACAAUCACACGCUGUUCUGCGCCAGGGAAGCUGGGGUUUUUAACAUCCUUUUGUGGUCCCUGCUUACGAUGCAUACUGCCCUGUGGGAGAAGCUUCCUACCCGCGUGGAGUACAGGUGCUGCUCCCUGACCUGGCUCUGGAUGUUCCCCUCUCGCUUAUUCUACUUCCUGCUGAAGGGCCCCUUCUAAAGGGGGUUGAGAGAAGGCCUUGCCUUUGUAUCUCCUCUGAGACUCUGACCACCCACUUCCUGCCAGGGCAGGGCCGUGGGAGACGCAGGCCGUGGGGCCGGGUCUGUGUGCGGGGCCAGGCAGCCGUCUGCGUCACUGUUUUCCAGCCUCCGUGUUGAGCAUGACGUAAAGUGACAAGUGUUUAAGUCAGCACGAAAACACUGAAGGCCCCUCCGUCCCUGCAGCCUGUGAACACGUCUACUCGGCCACCCGUCAGUAUAGGGAGUGUGUGUAUAGGGAGGUGGCACCCGGGAGCCCAGCCCAGCAGUGUCUCUGGGCACAGUGAUUUCAAGGGGGAUGGCCAGCAGUUGUGAAAGACAGGAUGAUCUGGAAUGUCUCAUUGGGAAGACCAAACCCCCUUCUCGCUGCAGAUACCAGAUAAGCACCCAUCUUCAGUGUCCACUGUGCAGCCCAGUCCUCUCCAUCAGCCCCAGCACAGCAUGAAGAAGGCACAUGAGCACCGGCCGACAGGCUUACAGGACAGGGUGCAGCAGCCAGCAUCCCAGGCAUCAGGGACAUGUGGGAUCUUCCCACACACCUGGGGUGACAUCGAAUUAACAUGAUGAGAAAAUUGCAUCUUACCGCUAAUCCCAGUACAGAACCACUAUGGGCAAAUUUAUAAAACUAAUCUGCACACCCUCUUUGCAAAAGGACACACCUGAGUUGAGUCUGCCUCUCCUCAUUGGCAUGAGCUUUGUGGGGGCGUGAGGCGCACGGACCCUUGCUGUGAGAACAGGAACCGCAGUCUUCACAUGCCCAGGGUCAGGUCCGACAGCAAACGAAGCAGACGCGUGAAUCCCCUGCCCUGUUCUCACUGACUGUGGAAUAUACGUUUGAAGUGAACACUUGCCAUUUUUCCACGUGCAGCUUCUCCUAAAGUGUCUUUUCUCCUAACGCGUCAAUAACGCCUCAGACACAGGUGUGCCUGAAGGAAACCUGCAGAGCCCCGGAUGGGGACAGGCUUCAGGAGCAUUGUCAGAGAGCAGGCAGCGGCAUUUCGUUUUCGCUCAUUUGAGGCUAGAAUGGUGCAGAUUUUAAAGGUCUUAGCAGCUUUUGUGUUUUACCUUUUACCAAGGGCUUUGGGGUAUUUUUUGUUUUUGUUUUUCUUUAUGAUAGUCUUCGUACUAUAAAAAUAUUUUCAGUGAGCAACUUCAAGAUAGCAUCGUUCAGAAAAGCAGGUUUCCCCAUUGGGCUCUCAGAGAGAGGGUGAGUCUGCAGGAAGCUGGAGCCCAUUUGCUGGAGGUUCCAGACACGCGCCUGCAUUUGUAUGUGUUUGACCCACCUGAAAGGUAGGAGAGCUCAGUUCGGAUCGUUGCCGUGUUGUCUAUACCACCUCCUUUUUUCCCAAACCAAAACGCAGAUCCUGAUGUAGCAUUUUCUCCUGAUUUGAGGUCUUACCAAGGUGUAUACGUUAAAUUCCACUCAAGACAGUUUCUUUACUGAAAAGGUAUGAAAUUACUUGAGAAGAAGUACAAAUUUCAGGCCCCUAGAAUCUGCCUAUUAAUAUAACAUUUGAAUUUCUGGGAAAUCUGGGGCACACAUUCACGGUAGAAUAACAAGGAGGCAUUGCUUGCAGGGGAGCGUACUCAGAACAGUGCUGUGGAUCCUGGCUUGACACCCUUUUCUGGAAAAUUGGGGUCACUCUCUGGCUCAGCUACAGAAUGGCCUGUCUUUGUCAGGAGGGACACUAACUUCUCAUUAAGGCCAUGCUCUUCAGGAACAGAGAGGAUGAUUUGGUUUUUGGUUUCGGGUUUUUAUUUUUAUUUUUGUUUUUGUUUUGAGACAGUCUCACUCUGUCACCCAGGCUGAAGGGCAGUGGCGCAACCUCGGCUCACUGUAGCCUCCACCUCCUGGGCUCAAGUGAUCCUCCCACCUCAGCCCACCGAGUAGCUGGGACCACAGGCACGUGCCACCACGCCCAGCUAAUUUUUGGAUUUUCUGUAGAGAUAUGGGACUUUGCCGUGUUGCCCAGGCUGGUCUUGAAUUCCUGGGCUCAAGCAAUCCGCCCCCACCUCGGCCUCCCAAAGUUCCGGGAUUCCAGUUCUGAGCCACCAUGCCCAGCCAAGAAUGGCAUUUUUUUUUUUAAUCCCAAAUAACAGCCUCUUUACUAGCUGCUAUGCUGGGGGAAAUCCCUGCUAAGUUGGGACCCUGGCAGGAAGUGGCCGGGGCUGCUUGUCCAGUGAGCAUUGUGAGGACACACAUCGCCACAUGGGCAGCGCUGCCCUGAGGCGCUUGGGGAGCAGCGUUCCGCCUGCUGCAGGUGUGAUGGGGUGCGGAGAGUGAGUGCCUCCGUGGCUGCAAGUCUUGCCACCAGCAGCGGUUAUUAGGAAAUGUAUGAUAACCUCAGUCAUUGUUGAGGGGGGAAGUGUUUGAAGUAAGGAAGAGGCUGAGGAGUCAGCUAUUUACACCACACACCCGCCCCCCUGCCUCCAGGGGACUGCUGUGAGCUGGGCCUGUGCCCGGGUGAGGAGAACCAUGGGCCUGUGUGGCAGGAUCAGCAAGUCUAGGGCCAGGGCAGCCAUCAGCAUCCUCUGGGAGUUGGUUGUGACUAUUGAAAUGCAAAUGCUUCCGCUUUGGUGAUUUUUUUUUUUUUUUUUUUUUUUUUUUGAGACGGAGUCUCGCUCUGUCACCCAGGCUGGAGUGCAGUGGCGCGAUCUUGGCUCACUGCAACCUCCGCCUCCCGGGUUCACACCAUCCUCCUGCCUCAGCCUCCCGAGCAGCUGGGACUACAGGCACCUGCCACGACGCCCAGCUAAUUUUUUGUAUUUUUAGUAGAGAUGGGGUUUUACCGUGUUAGCCAGGAUGGUCUCGAUCUCCUGACCUCGUGAUCCGCCUGCCUUGGCCUCCCAAAGUGCUGGAAUUACAGACGUGAGCCACCGCGCCCGGCCAAGCUUUGGUGACUUUUAACAUCCUAAGGGAGGAGUAACCCCUCUUUCCUGUUAAUCCAGAGGGAGGGGAGGGAAGGCCAGAUAGCCAGGGCUUCCAGCGCAGGAGGCAGAGCUUGGCAGCCACUGGUGGUGAUAAGCACGUCUGCCCAGGGCUGCCUGCCUCUGCCCUCCUCUUGGGAAGACAAGCUCUGCCCCCAGCUAAAAACUCCUCACAACCCUGAUGAGCCUUGCUUUUGCAGAGAGGCCCCAGCUCCCAGCUCCCCUGGUGGUCCUCAGGCCUGGCUGCGAGGCACAUUCACGAGGCACUGCCUUGAGCACUGAGGUCUGGCACCUGCCGGCUUCCCUGAUGCAGCAACAGCCCCAGCUGCCAGUUAGUCUGAUGAUAUUUGGAAAAGUAUUUUUAAAAACGAGAUUACUGAAUUUUACAAGCUUGACAUUUUCUAUUGGCUUUAUAAGCUCUUCUCAUGUUUUUAUUACCCUCACAUCCAAUCCAUUCGAGCUACAUGCUAAAUCAAAUUGGUAUUUUAUAUUUUUAUUUUUUUAGAGACAGGAUCUCGCUCUGUCACCCAGGCAGGAGUGCAGUGGCACAGUCAUGGCUCGCUGCAGCCUUGACCUCGCCUCAGCCUCCCCAGUAGCUGGGACCACAGGCUCAUGCCACCCACGCCCGGCUGAAGCUAGUUUUAACUGAAGAAAACUCAAAGUGUUCUCUCGCUGUUAACCUUUAUUAUUGAGGCAUUGGCUCUGCUAUAGGAAAACAAGGAGGUGACGUUAAUGUCAGUGGUUGACAUUAACCACUGGCAAGUGACAGUGUGGCUCCUUGACAAGUGGUUGCUGCUCAUAAAUGUCAUGAAACAAAAACACUGGUUUUAGAGAAGUGGGAUUCUACAGUUAAUAUUGCCAGCAAACUUUUAUUAAGCUCUCACUCUGUGCCAAACACAUGCUUGAAGUUGGGGUGAAUCUGUGACCAUUAAGAUGUUGGCUGUUCAUAGGCACCUUAUCAAGCAACUGGGGUGUGAGAGCGAAUGAUAAGAGGGUGAAUCUGGAUGAGGAGGGACUUCCAGGGCACAGGUGGAGGAGAGGCAUUGCAGCCAUAGAGAGGCCCAAGGGAACAGUCAAGACAAGGCGGGGACAGUGGCCAGGAGGCGAGGGCAGCACUUCCUGGGCAGGGAAGGCUUGCCAGGGAGACCAGACUCCUGUCUCUGUUUGGAAAGAAAAGGAACCGCACUGGGGGUCAGGGAGGCUAGGCACGGCACCGGCCUGGGAUGCCAGUCCUGCCUGAGGGCCCAAGGCAAAGGGGAAGCAUUCACAGACCCCACACCAGGCUCCGACGCCAAGUGGAAGAAGAGGGAGAUAGAAGCAGAAGCCUGGGCUUCCAGGCCUGGUGCCUGGGCGGGUGUUGAUGGGACCCAGGGAGAGUCCUGUGGGGAUACUUUGGGUCUGGGCUGGCAGGGGCUCUGGAAGGAGAGGCAUGGAGGUGCGAACCUGGUGCCCAGGUGGAGGUGCAGUGGGGGUGAGGUGGCCAGGCUGCAGACCCCUGCAUCAGAAUGCCUGCGAAGCUGUGGGUUUUUUGUUUGUUUGUUUGUUUUAUUUCGAGACAGGGUGUCACUCUGUCGCCCAGACCGGAGUGCAGUAGCGCCGUCUCGGCUCACUGCAAGCUCCGCCUCCCAGGAUCAAGUGAUUCUCCUGCCUCAGCCUCCCGAGUAGCUGGAUUUACAGAUGCAUGCCACCACGCCCGGCUAAUUUUUUGUAUUUUUAGUAGAAACGAGGUUUCACCACGUUGGCCAGGCUGGUCUCAAACUCCUGACCUCAAAUGAUCCACCUGCCUCGUCCUCCCAAAGUGCUGGAAUUACAGGUGUGAGCCGCACCAGCCUGUUUUUUAAUUUUUUUUAGAGACAGGGUCUCACUCUGUUGCCCAGACUGGAGUGCAGUGGUGUCAUCUCGGCUCACUGCAGCCUCGACUUCCAGCGCUAAAGCAAUCCCCCCACCUCUGCCUCCCGAGUAACCGGGACUACACACGCGUGCCACUACACCCAGCUAAUUUCUAAAAAUUAUUUUACAGACGGAGCUUCUCCGUGUUGCCCAGGCUAGCCUCAAACCCCUGGGCUCCAGUGACCCUCCCGCCUUAGCGUCUCAAAGUGCUGGGAUUACAGGCAUGAGCCACCACGCCCGGUCAGAAGCUGUGUUUUUAAGUGGACAUGCCAUCUUGUCCUGCUGAAGUAUCUCCAUGUAAUCACAAUAUCUAUGGCACCCAAAUCUCCUCCUUCCUCCUCCCUCCACCAAAACACCCCCACAGGCAUGAUACCCUCCCAUGCGCUGGAGGCAGAAUCUCCCAAGGGGAGCUGGCCAGGAGAGGUGUCCCUGAGUUCAGAUGGAGGUGGAAGCCAGAGUGGGGCUGGGACCGCCCAGUGACAUGAGGAUGGGGCUUGGGAUAAAGCCCUGGGGACACUGACAUUUAAAGUGUGGACAGAAGGAGCUACUGAAGGCAACGGAUUUAGAAAAGCAAUUGAGUAUGAUUUCCUUCUUCAAGAAAGGCUGUCCAACUAGCUCUCACUUCCUCUCGUGUGUUCAGUGUCACCCGGAAGCAGAGUUUAAUGUGACUAAAGUCAACAUUGGCUCACACUGUCACGGAGUGUGGGAAGAUGAGUGAGGACUCAUCGCAGGGCGAUACCCACAGCUUAAAACAGGCACCUUCCCCUCCCAGGUCUGGUUAGGGCAGUUGUUACAUAUGAGGGGCAUGGAGUUUUGUCUUGUAUUUUGGCCUUGUUGGUAAAGCAUUCCAAAGCUUCGACACACACUCCUUUCAGCCCAUUAGGAAAGGCUGUUGAUUGUAAUAUUCACACAGCUCCCUGGGCUAUGGUUAAGAGCCUUGCAGAAGGACUGGGAGAAGCCCUGUGUAUUUGAAGUAUUGUAGCAUCAGAAAAAAACACCGGAAGAAGGCAGGUGGGGACAAGGUGCCUAUGUCUGCUCCUUGGAUUCCUUUCCUUAUUGUCCGAGGCAACUACAGGGAAAGCAAAGCGUGAGCCCCCAAAUCCACACCUGGGAGGAACGUUCCCCUUUGCGAGGCAUGGGACUGGCUGGCCCUGUGUCUCACGGGGGAGGCAACUACAGGGAAAGCAAAGCGUGAGCCCCCAAAUCCACAUCUGGGAGGAACGUUCCCCUUUGCGAGGCAUGGGACUGGCUGGCCCUGUGUCUCAUGGGGGCUCUGAGUUUUGGGGUCACACUAGCCUCCUGAGGCCUGGCUGAGAGGGCUGGGUUGGGGGUCAGGAGGCCCCCUGUAGCCACGAAGCUCCUCUGGGGCAUUGUUAAAGGUUCACCCUCUUUUUUGUGGGUAUCCUGGAAGAUCUCAAGAAACUGAGCUUGGAAGAAGAGAGGCCGAGAGGGUCUCCCGCCGCCUGCGUUCUCCGCAGCUGUGGCCCCACAGCCUCCAGUGACCACGGAGGGGAAGGUGCCACCCGCCUUGGCUGCUGAAAGGGUGAUGCUCUUAUGCCUGAGUCUUGGCUCCUGUGGUCCUGCAGAGACCCUGUGGGGGCCGCCCGGUCGUCACCUGCACUCAUCUUGGGUUUUCCUUCCUUUUCCACCCUAAGCUCAAGGUAUUUUUUUCCUGUUUUCUUCACUCUAACUUGGGGAAGAAGGAAGAUCCUUUACGGAAAAGAAAAAAAAAGCACCUUUGAACGUCCUGCAACUUGAGUUUUAAGCUUUCAGAAGGAUUCGGUGCUGCUGGCCCGCUCAGACCCCCGCCUGGGCUGUGGAGUUCCUCCCGUUGGCCCCGCCUCCCUGUACCACCAAAGCUCUAGGCGGCCCAGCCACCCCUGUGAAAGCGGCGCCCGUAGCCAGACGCCAAGGCUGCCGUCCCGAGCCGAGGGUGGCACCUUGCCCAGCGCACGUGCAUUCUCCUGUGGGAACUCGGGGGGCAUGUGGUGAGCAGGCUCCUGUCAGUUGAGGCGGAGGCUCCCGGCCCAUCUUUGCUCUCCUCAGGCUGCCCAGCUCCUGGCGGCACAUGGUGGCCUGGCAAGGCUGACUUGGCCUCCUCAGUUCCCCACCCAUCCGCGGAUCAUCGCCUUCCCUCGCCGCCUCUCUCUACAGCCACCGACAUCUGCGGAGCGUCACAGACUGGUUCUGAGCUGUGGUUUACAAAUUUAACCCAACACAGAGUGAAUUCAAAUUUGCUUUUGGAACAGCCUUUAUCUCCAAUUAAGUGCAAGUAUAUUUACACUACGUGAUAUUAAAGGACUUCUCCAGUGACUGGGAGGUACUGAACCAAAACGUUUGUAAAGAAACGGUGGGGUGAGGUGGUUAGGUAGAAUAUACCGUCCUGGCCAUUUCUCUUCCUUCAGGCGAGUAAGCGCUCCUUCAGCAGAAAGGCUGCGGAUUGCUGGCUGUGCUCUGUGGACUGGGCCAGUAGGUGUGGCCCAGGUCCAGGUCCUGGCACCUCUGCUGAGUGCCCAGCCUGAGAUGACACGUGCCAUCCUGGAGAGAAGCAGAGAGGGUGCUGUCUCCAGGCGUUCUCCAGACAGCGUGGGCCUGGCUUGCUGAGCCAGCUGCAGGAGGGGAUCUCCUGACUGGGGCUUGGGACCAGAUCUGCUGCAGAGAGGCAAUAACUCUGUCUAAAAAGAAAACUUGUCCCGUGUGAUUACAAAAACAGGAAAAGGCUCCAAGCUAGGAAAUGAGAUUUGAGGUAUGGAGAACAUUCUCACCUGAUGGAAGCAUCCUGUUCCUGUACAGGAGGAGGAGCUGGUGCAAGCCCUAGGCCACAUAUGUCACAGUUGUUUUGGACCCUCCGUAGCUUUUAUACUCAUAAAAUAUUAAAGUUGCCCCUUUCAUAUUUGGGUCAUUGAAAGAGCCCACCGUACUCUAGGUUCCUGCUCACUAUGCACAACAUCUCAGAAGAUGGCGUACAAAACUAUUUUUCUAACUAUAGCACAGGUAAUGUGGGGGUGGGGAGGCUUGGGAUAUACCUAAAUGUGGCAAAUGAUUUAUCUUCCACCUUGAGGGAUGAAAAGGAAACUAUGCACUUGAAUUUUAAUUAAAAUUUUAAUUUAAUUCAUUGGAUAGCUUGUGCCAGAAAGAACAGUCAAUAUUCAAGAAGCAAAACUGACGAUUAGCUCAGUUUCGGGCCUCCCUGUCGGGGGAGUUUUCUUGUCUGGAACGCAAACACCUACAAGUAGAGUGUGAGCUGGUUCUUGACAAUCAGAUCUCAUCAACCCUUUGAAAUGUUCUGGGCAGCACAGCUCCUCGGUCUGCAUGGUUGGUGUAAGUAUAAUCAAGUAGUGAAAUUGUAUGGUAUAUACCUAUAUGCCAACAGUGUACACCUGUAUGUGCAGAAUUUGCUAAUAUAACCAUUUCAAUAAAAACCUAUUGAAAAAGCU
RNAcentral lists this long non-coding RNA (8943 nucleotides) under Pan troglodytes (chimpanzee). RNAcentral describes it as "long non-coding RNA NONPTRT014394". Lineage: Eukaryota; Metazoa; Chordata; Mammalia; Primates; Hominidae. The record is from RNAcentral.